This 366-nucleotide ribosomal RNA is filed under the name uncultured Glomeromycotina. RNAcentral's name for it is "SSU rRNA". It matches the Rfam family "Eukaryotic small subunit ribosomal RNA", at positions 569 to 938 of the family's 1831-position model. Lineage: Eukaryota; Fungi; Glomeromycota. The record is from RNAcentral.
AGCAGCCGCGGUAAUUCCAGCUCCAAUAGCGUAUAUUAAAGUUGUUGCAGUUAAAAAGCUCGUAGUUGAAUUUCGGGACCAUCAUGUCGGUCGUGCCUCGGUACGUACUGGCAUUGUUGGUUUCUACCUUCUGAAGAAUCAUGAUGUCAUUAAUUUGGUGUCAUGGGGAAUCAGGACUGUUACUUUGAAAAAAUUUAGAGUGUUUAAAGCAGGCUCGCGCUUGAAUACAUUAGCAUGGAAUAAUGAAAUAGGACGUUUAAUUCUAUUUUGUUGGUUUCUAGGAUUGACGUAAUGAUUAAUAGGGAUAGUUGGGGGCAUUAGUAUUCAAUUGUCAGAGGUGAAAUUCUUGGAUUUAUUGAAAGACUA